UACGAGGGGAGCAAGCGUCGUUCGGAUUUACUGGGCGUAAAGGGCGCGUAGGCGGCCACGACAAGUCACUUGUGAAAUCUCCGGGCUUAACUCGGAACGGUCAAGUGAUACUGUCGGGCUAGAGUACAGAAGGGGCAACUGGAAUUCUCGGUGUAGCGGCGAAAUGCGUAGAUAUCGAGAGGAACACCUGCGGCGAAGGCGGGUUGCUGGGCUGAUACUGACGCUGAUGCGCGAAAGCCAGGGGAGCGAACGGG
RNAcentral lists this ribosomal RNA (254 nucleotides) under uncultured bacterium. Its description in RNAcentral is "partial 16S ribosomal RNA". It matches the Rfam family "Bacterial small subunit ribosomal RNA", at positions 524 to 776 of the family's 1533-position model. The record is from RNAcentral.